GAUGCAGGGAGUAGUGGGGUCUGCUGCAGGGAUGUCCACACAGCCGGCCAGGGCUUUCCCAGGGGGACAUGUGAGGGGGUGGUCCUGAGGACCCUGGGAGCCUGGUGGUUUACUGAGCCCGCAAAUGCAGCUGGUCAUAAAGGACCUGGAGACAAGAGGUUGCAGACACCUCAGUGGCAAAUGGGCAACUCAGAAGAGGGUCCUCCGCAGAAUCCGACCACACUGGCACCCUGAUUCCAGCCUCUCGAACUGUGAGAAAGAAAUUCUAUUGUUUAGAAGCAUCCCCGCCCCAGACUAUAGUAUUGUGCUAUAGCAGUGGGACUAAGAAAUAAGCAGCCUUUAUUAAAACUUACUAUCCACCAAGCACUCUUUUAAGUAUCCCAUGCACAUUAAUUUAUUUAAUCAUGUUAUCAUUGCUCUGUCUAAUAGGUACCAUUAUUAUUGCUGUCCUCAUUUUACAGAUGACAAAGCUGAGAGCAGGGACUUUGACUCUUUGGUCCACUGUUCAACUCCAGCACCCAGAACGGCAGGAAUUCAAACAAAUUCAACUAAACAGCACCAAAAUGUGCUCUGAUGGAGAGCAUGGGGGCCAACAAUCUUCCAGAUGAUGGCACAGUGGGACCUUGGAGAUGCGUGGAGGCUUUGAGGCCAUUCAGGAGAAUCUGCCCCUCCCACCUGCACUCUCUCCUUUCAUACUUAUUUUUCAAGGGCUCCCUAUGGGUAGGACUUGUGUACCAAGAGGAAUCAGAUUUCCCCCAUCUGCCCCCAAGUAGGUUAUAAUUACAAUGUAAUAGGUUUUCUGCAAGGAAAAACUUAUGCAGAAAAAAUAUGGUAAAGUUAUAAAAGCACAAAGAGAAGCAAACUAAGUGCUGCAAUAAUUUUGUCAUCCAUCCUUCCAUGCACUCACUCAUCCAGGGGGCCUGAAGCCAUGAGAUGCAGGGAUGCGUGUGACACAGGCCCCUCUUCUGGUGGGGUGAGGCUGUGGCCUCCUCUGUCGGGGUAGCAAAGGCUUGGGGACAGCAGGUCCCAGCCUGAGGCCUCCCCCACCCCCCUGCUCUGCUCUGAGGAGCACUUUCCCCAGAGCUGGUCCAGCCCAGCCUGCAGCCUAGAGGGCUCUGGCUUGUCAAGAAAAGCAGGUCAAUAAGCCUUGUCCCAGGCCUUUGGGCUGACUGCCCCCUUUCAGCCUCCCUCUAGCCUGCCUCUAGCCUCUCUCCCUCCCUCCAUGGUGCCUGGCAGAGGGCCCCAGGCUCCCAGCCUGGCCUCUCGCUCACGCUCACGCACAGAGCCAUCCACAGACAGCGUGGCCGCCUCCCCCACUGGCCCCCAGAGCUCUGCGGGGUGAUUGAUGGGGCUGCUCUGCUCCCGGUCCCAGAGAGCUCCUUUGAAUAAUAACUUGCCCCAACUCCUCAUGCCACAGCCUCUGCCAUUAGGAUUUCUGUAUUAACCCUGACCUCCGCUGGGAGAAGAAAAGCACAUAUGGGAGGAAUGGGGGGCAGGGGCGGGGAGGGCAGGGAUAUUUCCCUGAAGUCGCCCCUUAAAGCCAGCCACCUACUCUGUUCACAUGUAAAGCUGGUCCCAUCUGCCUGCAAGGAUGUUAAGAGUUUGUUUCAUCCUUGAAGGGGCACAGCAGAGCAAGAGAGAUGGGGUUCAAGUGAGUUAUGUUAGUUCAUCAACACCAACACUUGAUCACCUACCACGUGCAAGGGACAGGGGAGACAAAGCCUCAAAGACACUCUUCCUGCCCUCGAGGAGUUCACAGACAAGCAUAGGGAAAUCCAAUACCUGUGACAGAGGCUGUCGUGGAAGUAGGUCCCAUGCAGUCACACGGAGGAGCCUGGCCCAGAGAUGGACCAGCAAGGAAGUCGUCACAGAUGAGCUGAUGAAGUGUUCUGAGAUCUCAAUCAGAAGGCAGGGAAGCCUGCUCCAAAUGUCAGCCACUACAGAAGCAAUGGCUUGAAAGUGUGAAAUUGUACUGUGUUCAGGAGAACUCUGAGUUGCAUGGCAUUUUUAGAGCAUGAAGGUGAGAUGGAUGUUGCCAAGACACAAGAGGAAGGGCUGGUAAUGAUACUGGCUGUGGAUUUUUGUUUGUUUUUGUUUUGUCUUUUGUCUUUUUAGGGCCACACCUGUGCCAUAUGGAGGUUCCCAGGCUAGGGGUGUUAUUGGAGCUACAGCUGCUAGCCUACACCACAGUCACAGCAAUGCCAGAUCUGAGCCUCGUCUGCAACCUACACCACAGCUCACAGCAACGCUGGAUCCUUAACCCAUUGAGCAAGGCCAGGGAUCAAAUCCACAACCUGAUGGUUCCUAGUCGGAUUCAUUUCCACUGCACCACGAUGGGAACUCCCUGGCUGUGGAUUUAAUUGAGUGCUCCUGCAGAGAGGCCUGUGUGCCAGUCUCAGGAGUUUGAUGACUGUGACAGGACAGUUAUCCAACAGGAAGGGGUGUCAUCAGAUCUGCAACAGUGCAGAGGACGGAUGGGAGCCGGAGAGGCUGGAGAAAGGGAGACCAGUCAGGAGGUGGAUAAAAUAGUCCAGGGAAGGGGCCCUUUAAGGACUGGACCAAGGCAGGGCUGAUGGGAGAGGGAAUGGCUUUAAAAGCAUGUUAACAGGAUGGGGAGAUAGAGGAGUCAAGGGUACCUCCUGGUGCCACCAGCUGAAACAGAGAUCAUGGCGUAGAAACAUUCACGAACCAACAUCAAGCACCUACUAGAUGAGUGGUGCUAUUCCAGGCACAGAGACACAGAGAUAAAUAAUUCACUUCACUUGAAGGUACUUCAGUGCUUUUAAAAGACAAAUUUAAUUUGUAUAUACAUACAUCCAACAAAGUUUGGGGCAAUCUCAGAACUUUUUUUUUUUUUUACAAAAAAAAAAAAAUGCACUUAGACCCUGCAAUACUGAAACUCACUCUCUAUUUUGUUUUCUCCAGGAGGCAACACUCACACAAUUGAGAUGAUUCAAGGUGGCCCAUCUGCCUGGGGUAGGAUCAGGGCAGCUCAUCUGGGGCCUCUGCCAUGCGACUGAGGUUGGGGGGGGCGGGAAGCUUCUUUGAGAGUCCAUAUCUCUGUCCAACAUCUCUGCCUUUCAGCUGGAGUCUUCUUUCCCCCUGGGAUGGGUUUGCUCAUAAAAAUAAAUGUCUUGUCCGAAUUAAUCUUAGUUUUAAAAGGAGAGAGUCAUCAUAUUGUAAAGACAGAUCAUAAAAAGAUGCAUCAAUCUGUCAGGAAGGAUGGUUAAUAGGAGUAUUUGUUUAGCAGAGACAGUGCACCCGAGGCAGCCUUUCUGGACCAGCCCUAGGCCUGGAAGGGCCUUUUAUAUGAGUACUUGGAGCAUCUAGGGCCAGCAGCUUUGCAUACUGAAUAAGGGCACUCUAGCAGCCAGACUCUGCAAAAAGGCCAGGAGCGUGCCCCUACCCCACCCUGGGAGGAGGGCCCAUCCCUCAGUCCCAGCUGUGUCCCAAUCACUUCAUUUUGAGAAUUAAUCAAUAUAAGAGAUCUUAGAUGACACCUCAGACAAUCUAUUUUGUUUUAUUCUUUUAAAAAGUGACACAGGCAGUUCCCAUUGUGGCUCAGUGGGUUAAGGACCUGCUAUUGUCUUUGCAAGGAUGCAGGUUCAAUCCCUGGCCUUGCUCAGUGAAGGAUCCAGUAUUGCCACAAGCUACAGCACAGGUCACAGAUGCAGCUCAGAUCUGAUGUUGCUGUGGCUGUGGUGUAAGCUUCAGCUGUAGCUCCAAUUCAACUGCUAGCCCGGGAACUUCUAUAUGCCUCA
This 3761-nucleotide long non-coding RNA is filed under the name Sus scrofa (pig). RNAcentral describes it as "lncRNA (ENSSSCG00065039015.1)". The record is from RNAcentral. Lineage: Eukaryota; Metazoa; Chordata; Mammalia; Artiodactyla; Suidae.